GUAGGUGGCAAGCGUUGUCCGGAAUUAUUGGGCGUAAAGCGCGCGCAGGUGGUUCUUUAAGUCUGAUGUGAAAGCCCCCGGCUCAACCGGGGAGGGUCAUUGGAAACUGGGGAACUUGAGUGCAGGAGAGGAAAGUGGAAUUUUGUGUGUAGCGGUGAAAUGUGUAGAUAUGUGGAGGAACACCAGUGGCGAAGGCGACUUUCUGGCCUGUAACUGACACUGAGGCGCGAAAGCAUGGGGAGCAAACAGGGAUUAGAUACCCUGGUAGUCCACGCCGUAAACGAUGAGUGCUAAGUGUUGGGGGGGUUUCCCGCCCCUCAGUGCUGCAGCUAACGCAUUAAGCACUCCGCCUGGGGAUACGGUCGCAAGACUG
Molecule: ribosomal RNA, 373 nt
Filed under: uncultured organism
Description: partial 16S ribosomal RNA
Rfam family: Bacterial small subunit ribosomal RNA
Source: RNAcentral